GUGGGCCCGUGGGUCUGGGUGGGAUCGUGACAGGGACUCCCAGAGCAGCUGGAAACCUGGAGACUGGAUUUAGGCCGAGGCAAGAACACCCAGCAAAAUGAAUCUGUGCAUUUACAUCGUAGACAAGAGGCCUUGCUCCUGCUGAGACAUGAAGAAAAAUGUUUUGUCCCCUCCCAUAAACAAAGUCUCCUUAGGAGUACAAAGAAUGUGUUGCCAGUGUGUGGAAUAUAAAUAAAUUUCUCUGUGGGAAUCAUAA
This is a long non-coding RNA of Dipodomys ordii (Ord's kangaroo rat), 256 nucleotides long. RefSeq lists it as uncharacterized. The record is from RefSeq and is a predicted model, not a curated record. The transcript is spliced from 2 exons. Lineage: Eukaryota; Metazoa; Chordata; Mammalia; Rodentia; Heteromyidae.